UACGUAGGGUGCGAGCGUUAAUCGGAAUUACUGGGCGUAAAGCGUGCGCAGGCGGUUUUGUAAGCCAGAUGUGAAAUCCCCGGGCUUAACCUGGGAAUGGCAUUUGGGACUGCAAAGCUUGAGUGUGGCAGAGGGGACUGGAAUUCCUUGUGUAGCAGUGAAAUGCGUAGAGAUCAGGAGGAAUACCGAUGGCGAAGGCAGGUCCCUGGGCUGACACUGACGCUCAUGCACGAAAGCGUGGGGAGCAAACAGG
This 253-nucleotide ribosomal RNA is filed under the name uncultured bacterium. RNAcentral describes it as "partial 16S ribosomal RNA". It matches the Rfam family "Bacterial small subunit ribosomal RNA", at positions 524 to 776 of the family's 1533-position model. The record is from RNAcentral.